CAGUCGCCGCGGUAAUACGUAGGGUGCAAGCGUUAAUCGGAAUUACUGGGCGUAAAGCGUGCGCAGGCGGUUAUAUAAGACAGAUGUGAAAUCCCCGGGCUUAACCUGGGAACUGCAUUUGUGACUGUAUAGCUAGAGUACGGCAGAGGGGGAUGGAAUUCCGCGUGUAGCAGUGAAAUGCGUAGAUAUGCGGAGGAACACCGAUGGCGAAGGCAAUCCCCUGGGCCUGUACUGACGCUCAUGCACGAAAGCGUGGGGAGCAAACAGGAUUAGAUACCCCCGUAGUCCCUGUCUCUUAUAC
This 301-nucleotide ribosomal RNA is filed under the name uncultured bacterium. RNAcentral describes it as "partial 16S ribosomal RNA". It matches the Rfam family "Bacterial small subunit ribosomal RNA", at positions 509 to 807 of the family's 1533-position model. The record is from RNAcentral.